CCGGUCUGAACUCAGAUCACGUAAGAUUUAUUUGGGCGAACAGACCAACUCUUAUAAAUUUUUUCUUUAUAAGUUGUUCUUAAUCCGACAUCGAGGUCGCAAUUUAUUUUGUAAAUGAGAACUUCUCAAAAAUUUUGCGCUGUUAUCCCUUAGGUAACUUGUUUUAUUUCAUAUUUGGAUAAUUUAAUUUGAUUUAAAUCAUUUUUUUAUAUCUAAAGAUUUAUUUAUUUAAAAAUCUCCCCAAUCUAACAAAUUAACCAAAUGAAAUUAAGUUAAUUUGUAAAGUUCUAAAGGGUCUUCUUGUCUUUUGAUUUUAUUUAAGAUUUUUCACUUAAAUAUUAAUUUUUACUACUUUAGUUUAAAAAGCUUGUUUCACAUUAUUUCUUUCAUUCAAGCUUUUAAUUAUAAAGCAACUUAUUAUGCUACCUUAGUACAGUUAAUUUACUGCAGCUAUUUAAUUUACUCAUUGAGCAGAAUUUAUCUAAAAUCUUUUUCUUUAAACUAUGUUUUUGUUAAACAGGCG
Molecule: ribosomal RNA, 523 nt
Filed under: Bemisia tabaci
Lineage: Eukaryota; Metazoa; Arthropoda; Insecta; Hemiptera; Aleyrodidae
Description: partial 16S ribosomal RNA
Source: RNAcentral